AUUGAACGCUGGCGGCAUGCCUUACACAUGCAGGUCGAACGGCAGCACGGGAGCAAUCCUGGUGGCGAGUGGCGAACGGGUGAGUAAAGUAUCGGAACGUGCCCAGUCGUGGGGGAUAACGUAGCGAAAGUUACGCUAAUACCGCAUACGAUCUAUGGAUGAAAGCGGGGGAUCGCAAGACCUCGCGCGAUUGGAGCGGCCGAUAUCAGAUUAGGUAGUUGGUGGGGUAGGGGCUCACCAAGCCGAAGAUCUGUAGCUGGUCUGAGAGGGAGACCAGCCACACUGGGACUGAGACACGGCCCAGACUCCUACGGGAGGCAGCAGUGGGGAAUUUUGGACAAUGGGCGUAAGCCUGAUCCAGCCAUGCCGCGUGCAGGAUGAAGGCCUUCGGGUUGUAAACUGCUUUUGUACGGAACGAAAAGGUUUGACUUAAUACGUUGGACUCAUGACGGUACCGUAAGAAUAAGCACCGGCUAACUACGUGCCAGCCGCCGCGGUAA
This 500-nucleotide ribosomal RNA is filed under the name uncultured bacterium. RNAcentral describes it as "partial 16S ribosomal RNA". It matches the Rfam family "Bacterial small subunit ribosomal RNA", at positions 30 to 523 of the family's 1533-position model. The record is from RNAcentral.